RNAcentral lists this ribosomal RNA (461 nucleotides) under uncultured bacterium. RNAcentral's name for it is "partial 16S ribosomal RNA". It matches the Rfam family "Bacterial small subunit ribosomal RNA", at positions 339 to 795 of the family's 1533-position model. The record is from RNAcentral.
CUACGGGCGGCAGCAGUAGGGAAUAUUGCGCAAUGGGCGAAAGCCUGACGCAGCGACGCCGCGUGAGUGAUGAAGGUCCGCUGGAUUGUAAAGCUCUGUAAGGAGGGAAGAACCGCCUGGUGUAACGGCCAGGUCUGACGGUACCUCCAAAGUAAGCACCGGCUAAAUAAGUGCCAGCAGCCGCGGUAAUACUUAUGGUGCGGGCGCUGUCCGGAAUGACUGGGCGUAAAGGGUGCGUAGGCGGACUUUCAAGUCAGGUGUGAAAUCCCCGGGCUUAACCUGGGAACUGCGCUUGAAACUGGAAGUCUAGAGUAUGUGAGGGGUUAGCGGAAUUCCCGGAGUAGCGGUGAAAUGCGUAGAUAUCGGGAAGAACACCGGUGGCGAAGGCGGCUAACUGGCACAUGACUGACGCUGAGGCACGAAAGCGUGGGGAGCGAACGGGAUUAGAUACCCGCGUAGUC